UUAGAUGGACUAUAACAAGUCCCAUAAACA
Molecule: transfer RNA, 30 nt
Filed under: Phalanger gymnotis
Lineage: Eukaryota; Metazoa; Chordata; Mammalia; Diprotodontia; Phalangeridae
Description: partial tRNA-Phe
Source: RNAcentral